Long non-coding RNA from Neoarius graeffei (lesser salmon catfish), 219 nucleotides. RefSeq lists it as uncharacterized. The transcript has 3 exons. The record is from RefSeq and is a predicted model, not a curated record. Lineage: Eukaryota; Metazoa; Chordata; Actinopteri; Siluriformes; Ariidae.
AACAAACUUAGAGUCUUGCCAGCAACGGAUGAUCCGGUUUUGCGCCAAGUUACAUUUGCCCAGUGAGCACGCCUGUGGUGACGGUGGCAAGGAAAAACUCCCUCAGACGACAUGAGGAAGAAACCUCGAAAGGAACCAGACUCAAAAGGGAACCCAUCCUCAUUUGGGAGCGAUGCGAUGAGACUCCAGCCAGACACAGGGCAUCAGGAUGGAUCAGGC